RNAcentral lists this ribosomal RNA (440 nucleotides) under uncultured bacterium. RNAcentral describes it as "partial 16S ribosomal RNA". It matches the Rfam family "Bacterial small subunit ribosomal RNA", at positions 339 to 795 of the family's 1533-position model. The record is from RNAcentral.
CUACGGGUUGCUGCAGUGAGGAAUAUUGCACAAUGGGGGGAACCCUGAUGCAGCAACGCCGCGUGGAGGAUGACGCAUUUCGGUGUGUAAACUCCUUUUAUAUGUCAAGAAAAUGACGGUAGCAUAUGAAUAAGCACCGGCUAACUCCGUGCCAGCAGGCCGCGGUAAUAGGGAGGGUGCAAGCGUUACUCGGAAUCACUGGGCGUAAAGGACGCGUAGGCGGGUUGGAAAGUCAGGUGUGAAAUCCUACAGCUUAACUGUAGAACUGCACUUGAAACUUCUAAUCUAGAGUAUGGGAGGGGGAGAUGGAAUUAGUGGUGUAGGGGUAAAAUCCGUAGAUAUCACUAGGAAUACCUAAAGCGAAGGCGAUCUCCUGGAACAUUACUGACGCUAAGGCGUGAAAGCGUGGGGAGCAAACAGGAUUAGAUACCCUAGUAGUC